UGCCAUUGCUAAGUCAAGGCUUCUUCCAGCGACUAUAUGUCGUGCUAUUCUCCAUGGAAGUCUGUCUGUUACAGCUCUGGUAGAUUGACGCUGGCCCGCGCCGACCUUCUUUCUGAAGCUAGGCUGAUGGGCUUUCGUUUUGAAAGCUCGUCGUAAGGGCCGAGCUGUGCUCCGUUUUUGAGUUGAGUCCUGCUUCAGCCAUCCGGCUGCUUCGUAGCAGGUCUCUUAGUAACGUUACACACAUUC
Molecule: small nucleolar RNA, 246 nt
Organism: Aspergillus bombycis
Lineage: Eukaryota; Fungi; Ascomycota; Eurotiomycetes; Eurotiales; Aspergillaceae
Rfam family: Small nucleolar RNA snR191
Source: Rfam